UGGGGAAUUUUGGACAAUGGGCGAAAGCCUGAUCCAGCAAUGCCGCGUGUGUGAAGAAGGCCUUCGGGUUGUAAAGCACUUUUGUCCGGAAAGAAAUCCUUGGCUCUAAUACAGUCGGGGGAUGACGGUACCGGAAGAAUAAGCACCGGCUAACUACGUGCCAGCAGCCGCGGUAAUACGUAGGGUGCAAGCGUUAAUCGGAAUUACUGGGCGUAAAGCGUGCGCAGGCGGUUUGCUAAGACCGAUGUGAAAUCCCCGGGCUCAACCUGGGAACUGCAUUGGUGACUGGCAGGCUAGAGUAUGGCAGAGGGGGGUAGAAUUCCACGUGUAGCAGUGAAAUGCGUAGAGAUGUGGAGGAAUACCGAUGGCGAAGGCAGCCCCCUGGGCCAAUACUGACGCUCAUGCACGAAAGCGUGGGGAGCAAAACAGGAUUAGAUACCCUGGUAGUCCACGCCCUAAACGAUGUCAACUAGUUGUUGGGGAUUCAUUUCCUUAGUAACGUAGCUAACGCGUGAAGUUGACCGCCUGGGGAGUACGGUCGCAAGAUUAAAACUUAAAGGAAUUGACGGGGUCAUAGCUUUUUCC
Molecule: ribosomal RNA, 585 nt
Filed under: uncultured bacterium
Lineage: Bacteria
Description: partial 16S ribosomal RNA
Rfam family: Bacterial small subunit ribosomal RNA
Source: RNAcentral